RNAcentral lists this ribosomal RNA (403 nucleotides) under uncultured bacterium. RNAcentral's name for it is "bacterial SSU rRNA". It matches the Rfam family "Bacterial small subunit ribosomal RNA", at positions 917 to 1322 of the family's 1533-position model. The record is from RNAcentral.
GGGCCCGCACAAGCGGUGGAGCAUGUGGUUUAAUUCGAUGAUACGCGAGGAACCUUACCAGGGCUUAAAUGGGAAAUGACAGGGGCAGAGACGCCCCCUUCUUCGGACAUUUUUCAAGGUGCUGCAUGGUUGUCGUCAGCUCGUGCCGUGAGGUGUCAGGUUAAGUCCUAUAACGAGCGCAACCCCUAUCGUUAGUUGCCAGCGAGUAAUGUCGGGAACUCUAACGAAACUGCCAGUGCAAACUGUGAGGAAGGUGGGGAUGACGUCAAAUCAUCACGGCCCUUACGUCCUGGGCUACACACGUGCUACAAUGGCCGGUACAGAGAGCAGCCACUUCGCAAGAAGGAGCGAAUCCCUUAAACACUAUCUCAGUUCGGAUCGGAGUCUGCAACUCGACUCCGUG